Molecule: long non-coding RNA, 10514 nt
Organism: Gallus gallus (chicken)
Lineage: Eukaryota; Metazoa; Chordata; Aves; Galliformes; Phasianidae
Exons: 6
Source: RefSeq, a predicted model, not a curated record
CUCUUUCCCCGCCGCUCGGCGGUGAGGCGCUCCAACCCUGGGCUGAACCCGCCCCGAGGUCCCCGCACGGCCUCCCGAUGCCUUCCGUGGCUCUGCCCGCCGGGUGCCCGGCUGGUUGCUCCCCGCCCCGGGCGGCCGCUGCCGUGGGCAUGCUGGGGCUGGAGCCGCGUGUGCUGAUGCCGGCAGGGGUCACUUAGCAGUUUCAUGAUUGGAGCAGCCUGGAAAUGGAUGAUCACACCUAAAUUGAAAGCAGUUCUCAGGAUUCCUUAGGAAUGAAUAAUACCUUCUAUUAAGAAGUUUUCAGAGUCCUCAAGUGUGUUGGUACUCCUUGACCACCUAGAAUAUGCUUUGUGAGAUGGCAAUAAACAAUGUGGAGUCACAAGAGUUCCUUGUGAAUUGAUAAGUCUCCGGAGAGGAAACCAGCAAGGGAUGUGCAAGGCAUCAGAGCUGAUCUGUUGAGUGGAUGAUUAUUGACUUCACAUAAGAUUACAUAGGACAACUGAGUGAUGUUUUUGGCUUGAAUUGAAACAGUGACUCAGAUGAUUACAUCUUCAAUGAUCACGCUUAAACAAUCUAGCCAUUGGUUCAACAGAAGUUUCUUAAAAGCUGUGGCAAUUUAUUUCUAUGUGGAUUGAUUGAAAUAAAGGUAAUACCAGAAGCUUGUGUUGUGAAGUUCUCUCACUAGGUGCUUCCUAUUUCAAAGGUAUUCAGAAGUUCAGAAUGCUAAAUUCCUUUACUUUGAAAUCACUUUAUUUUGAAGUCAGUGGGCCCACUUCUGAAUUACUUAAUUAGGCUAUGGUAAUUUGCAUAUUGUCCAGUUAGUCAAUAGAUGUUCUCAAACUUGCCAAAGACAUAAUAGAUAAAGGGAUCCUUGAAGACUGCUAUUUAAAAUACAACAAGAUAUUUUUCUUCCUUGUAAAGAGCUGUUAUGAAGGGCUGUGAAGAGCAGGAACAAUGUUCUUGAGCAGUUGAAAUGCUGCAUCUCCUAGGUCAAAAAUUCAAGUUUCCAUGUGAAGUUUGAAAUUGUCAUUUGUGUAUUCUAUUACUAGCUGAUGCUUCUAUAGAAGGCAUAAGCAAGAAUAAAAGUAGUUCAAAUUGGCUGUUAGGCAAUCCCUACUGCUGAAUUGGUGCACUGUAUUAUUGCAGGGUUAGGGCCAAACGUAAAUAACCUUGGUCAGAUUAAAAUUCCAUCUAGCCAGGAAGUAUGUUUCAGGUUCUUCACUUAAAUAUCUGCUGGAUGGGGCAAAUAUUUGGAGAUUUAUAAUUUCAAGCCUGUCAGAUUUACCUUAAGUGUAAGCUCUGAAAUGUUUUCACUUCUAGAAACUGACUUUUGGCAACUAGGCACUUGUUCCUCUUCUUUCUGCACUGAGAGAAGUGCCCUUGGAGGACCUACUUGAGAACUUUGAAAACGAGGCCUGUUCUUUUGGGCCAAGAUCUGUGAUUACUUGCUGACUUCUUCAGAGACCUAUUUCUGAGGCAUCACUGCUCUUCAUAGUGUGCUUUUGCAUGUCCUGCAAUCCUUUGUUGGAGAAUGCUCAAAGGACCAUGAGUGGUUUGCACUAUUAAAGAUUAGUAUUAACUAGUCUUAUUUCCAGCUAAAUGACAUCAAGACAGACUCAUUUUAUAGGUUUCUGUGCGAAUGUUUUGUGCAAUAAGGAUUGCAAGGAAAGCUGGGGUGGCAUAAAAAUGAAUGAGAGCUACUAGGUAGAUUUUAAUGUGUACAUUUCUUGUGAGCUCUGGUUGAUUGCAUAUCUAAGGAUGAUGCUUCAACAUUUUGUUGUCUAGAUCUGCAGUAGUGUCAGUUCUGUUCAGGAAGAUGGUUGGGCAGGAGAAGGAGUAUAUUUUUGUGUCUAUUUUAUGUUUUAGCAGACAGUCGAAAAGCACAAUUUCCUACCUCAGUUCCUUUCAGUACAUUAUUAUGACUGAGUUUUAUCCUUGAUCAAAGGAGGCAUAGAGAGAAGAUGAAUUAUAUAAGAUGCUUAGGGAAUAACCUCGUACAGUGGAGAAACCUUUCUAAAGAGUCUGUUUAAAAAUGAUCUUAGCUAGGGGGGUUCUUUUAUAUAAAAGGCCAAGGAAAAGGGAUAAAGGUAAGCCUAAAGGAAUCUGUGGAGCACCUUGUUCUGAAGAGGAGAUGAUGGAAGAUUCUAUUCUUAGAGGAGAAUAGAGAAUAAGAGCUUUUUCCUGGAAAUCAACAUCUCUGCUGAUUUAGUGGUAGGUCGUGUGGGUUGGUUUUUUGUUUUGUUAUUUUUCCAUUUUCUCCCUCUAUUUUAAGCUUUUAGAGGACUUGCUUGGAAUGUGAGCAGGUAGUCCAAACAUUUAUUGGGACUCACUUGGAAAGGAAUUUUAGUCAGGGUUUUCUUUCAGAGGUAGCUAGCAUCAACUGUAGUCCAUUAAUGUCUUGUAAUGCAGGCAGUUAUAUUCUUUAGGCUAGUGGAUUUGUGAUUCUGCAGCUGGAAAACUCAAGGUCUGGCUAACCCUGACAUUUUAUGGUAAGAAAACCAGCAAGAUACCAGUAGGGUGAAGAUACUGUAUGAAUGCACUUGUACCUAAGGAGCGAUGAGUGUGCAACCCAUGCAUUAGUUUGGAUUAAUGCAGGGAGGCGUUUCCUGCAAAGCUGUAGUGGUCAUUAGGUAUCAGAUUUGUGCUUUCUCAAUGCCUUUUACAUUCGGUUUCAGAUGGAACUAACAUUAGAUUCUUCAACACAUCAGUGCUUUUGUGUAUCUAAGCAAAGUUGAAAACUGCAUGACCUUCACUGACGUUCACUGCUGCAAAGAGGGUCUUUGCUGUUUGGUGCACUUUGAUGUAAAGAUCAGAGAUUUCCUCACAUGGUUUGAUGUUUGAGUUCUAUGGUCUUGACUUAGUGCACUGAGGGCGUUAAUACUCUUUCAGGCUCAAGUGUAGAAGCUUGGAAUAAUGAUUUAUCAUCUUCAGAUUGUAUUGUAUGUAUGUUUACUCUAAGGCACUAAGCUGAUGUAAUCCAGAAUGUGCAUUUUAACGUAAGUAAUCCUAAUUAAACUAUUGAGCAGGAGUAAUUGGAAGUAGCUAAAAUCCCUGGAAGAUAAGUGUGCCCAAAACCAAGGGAUAAAUAAAUGUGGGGAGUUCCAGCUUUUAGCACUCCCUGGCCUUGGAGACAGCAGGUGAUGCAGAUCCUUAGUUAGUCUCAUGGGAGCAGGCAAGGUCAUUUGUUAUUUCCUUCUCAGUGGUUUAUUGCACACCAAAGCAGAGGUGGUAUGUGGCCUAUGAGUCAGAGUGUUUUUCAGUCCUUCUCCUCAGAAGUGAAGGUGAACUUGAAGAUGAAGUUGUAGAAGGGAAUUUGGCUUAGGUUUUAUUAGUGCUUCUGCCACUGAGUCUUAUUACGACUGAUGUAGGAGGAUGAAAUCUCAGCUUCCAUUUGGUUAUGUCACGAUCUGUCCCUUAAAAAUAGAAUGUUAUCUCAUGCAGUUUGGAAAGUGAAAGAAAAUAAAUAGGAGCUCUCUGGAAUAAUUUCUCUGCAUUUUCUCCACAAGCUACUUGAAAAGAUUGCUCACUAUAGCGUCCCCAGGAUCUUAGUACUGAAUGCUAUUAGAUUCAUCCCUUCAUUCUUUUUAAGUGUAAUCAUGAAAUGCACCCAACAUACUUUGUUAGGAAAGUAACUGGAAGGGAAUAAAGCCAAGUAAAGUACACAGAAGGAUGCAGUUUGUUUCCAGCGGUAAUGUGUUCUCUCCUACUCAUCCAGAUUUAAGAUACUAGUUUCUCAUUUCCCCCUCUGAUAAAUGGGAAGAGGGAAAUGGCAACAAUGGGCACAGAGAAGGCUGAGGUACUCUACAAGUUCUUUGCCUCAGUCUUCCCACGUCCUUUGUGUCCCUGAACCUCCAGAUUCAGGGAGGGAGGAGCAAAAUCCCUCCUACUGUAAGCAAAGACUUGGUAAGGUAGACUCAGUAUUAGUAUGGUUACUCAGGAUAAAAACAGAGUGAUGAAAUAGCAAUAAUUCACUGAUAUUCAAGAUUAUACUGCAGAGGCUGUGAUGGAAGAGCAGAUCACUUAUCCAGAAAGGUAAAGAUUAUAAGUCUUCAAGAAAAAAAACCCAAAGAUAAACUACAAGUCAAACCGUAAGCUCGUGACACGGUGCUGAACAAGAUCUGAACAUUAGUACUGUGAACAGCAACCUCAGAAAGAUAACCAGGUUUUGUAGAUGAGUGGUGGGACCUGUCCUUACUCUGCUAAAUUAAUAGUGCACUUUCAUUGAGUUUCAUGCUGAUUUACACCACCUGGAGACCUGGUCCUGCCUUUGCACUAGCAUGCUUGUCACCCACUGUGCUGGUUUACAGAUCCCAGUGACCUCCUGCCUAAGAGCAGCUCAGUUUGAAUCCUCAAUUUUGGAAGUUUUGAAGUUACCUUGAUUUGAGCAGUCCUUUCAGCUCCUAAUUGGUAGGUCUGAAGUCAGUGAGAGCUGAGAGCAGCCUUUCUGUCAUGCUAAGGUUUACAUGGAAUUACAUCUUUUAAUAAAAUAUGCAACAACUCUAACAAUUGUCUUAAAAAUAUGUCUUAAAAAUGGUAGUACUCCAUAACUUCUUCCAUGUAAAGUUACAUGGCAGCCAUUACUCACUAUGUAGCAAAUGCUGUGUCUGCAGUUCUUAAAGUGACAGCAGCACUGUAACUCAAGGUAUUGUGAAGUAGUUUGAGAUGCAUGGGGCAUUUCAGAGGGUAUAUAUACACUUUUUCUUUACCAUUUGAUUUCAUAUCCAAAACCAUACCAAUAACUUGACAUGCGGAGAGAGCACUUAUCUGACAACCGAUGAAGUAAUCAAUUAAUAGUCAUCAUUCAAACCAAAAAGGAAAACUGUCAGCUGCUUUCAAAUAUCAUAAAUAAAAAUACUCGCGUUCUCAAUGUUUUAUGAUAAAUUUGUGGCAUGCUUUCUUUUUCCUUAGUGAUUUCCUAACGUCAUUCUCCAGGUCAGACCAAGAGCACAGAGCAGACCUACUUCAGUCAGGUGCCUGGCUUGGAUCACCUCCUCAUCUCAUAUGUGCCUUAACGCAGCUUCCAGGAGGAUCCAUUCCCUGAUCUCCAAUGCACAGAGGUGAGGCUCCCUGGCCGGUAGUUCCCCAGGUCUUCCCUUCUACCUUUCUUAAAAAUGGGAGUGAUGUUUCCCUUUUUAUAGUCAGUGGGGACUUCACCUGACAGCCACAGCGUUGUGAAUAUGAGUGAGCAAGGCUUGGCAACUGCCUCACUUGGUUCCUUCAGGACCCUGGGAUGCGUGUGGUCUGGCCCCACAGACUUGAACACGUUCAGUCUCAUCAGAUGGUCUGGAAGAAGGUUAUUUUUAUAUCUUUCUGACAUUUUGUGUAUGUCUGCGUGACAGCAGCAGAAAGAAAAAGUCCCUUAUAAUCUGACAUCAACAUCUUGGACUCUGAAAUAGCACGUGAUUUAAAUACCUCUGGUUUUUAUUCUGAUGGGCUUCUGAAUAGUUUACAUGUAUUUUUAUUACCUUGGGAUAUGAGUACAAGUUGGAAAGCUUGAGAGGUUUCUGCACAGAAUGCAACUUGCAAAAUGCUGUUGCCAUUUCCUUGUGGAAAAGUAAAUUAGAGUCGAAUAUUUCAUGUACUGGAAAGGAGAUGGAGAGGAAUUGGUUUUCUUUCAAAACAUUAUUUUUAGUUGCCAGAUUUCAAAGCUUCAAGUAAGAGUAUUAUAUGGAUCAUCUGUUUGCUUGUAUUCUCAGCUGCACUGCAGAUCCACUCUGGCAGAAUUUCUCAUGGUAGCUUCUGUAAACUGCAUAAUUUAAGUAAUUUAAAGGAAGGAUUUUUAGGGUAGGGUUUUUCAAGAGUACUCUGAAUUGGUUUCUUUUUAGUCUUUUUGAAUUAGAGUUCAAUGUUGAUGUCAACAAAGCAAAUUUUGGCUGCUGCUGAAUACUAAAGUCAAAAUCACUGAUGUUCCUUCAUCAGUCCAGGUGACAGAGCAACUUUGGAUCAGUAAAAUCGUUUUGAUUGGCCACACUGAAGAUGUCAGUGAUGUCGCAAAGCUCAGUAUAUCUAGUCUCCACUGAAACUAAACUUGUCCUUCCUGUCUGAUGGCAUGUACCUAUCUGAACCAGAAGCAUUUCACACACCUUGCAUUUCCAAUUGCUAACUCCGCAAGAGGCGGGGUAUUCAAUACCAGGCAUUGGUUAUCAGUGUCUGCAGAUGAACAAUUUAGGAGGCUGAUGUACAGUUUGUUCACAGUCAUAACCUACUGAAAAGAUGUCUGCAACAUAAGCCACUUGAUAAAGCAGUUUACAUAGCAACCCAGUAAAGUUGCUUUGAAAGCUCCAUUUGAUGUUUCCAUAUUGCAUCAUUUUUCCUCUCUAAAUUUGUUUGCAGGCGACUUGUGCAGAAAAUGAAUUCAUUUAUGUAAUUGCUGUUAAUUUGGCUGAAAAACAAAAGCAAAACACCCAUAAGGUAAUUUCACCUCUCGUUGUUAGAAAAGCAGUUCUCCAGUUGAACACGAAUGCCUCUGAGUUGCCAAAUGCAACUGGUUUUACUGGCUGUGGUUUCUGUCCUUGUUGAGUCAGUCAGCGGCAGGUGAGGUCUAGAGCUAGAGCUUCCCAACCAGAGCUCUGCAAUCUGUGCUGGGGAAGGGAGGCUGCACAAGGCUGAUCAGGAUGAAGACAGCAGAAGCGUGAGACUGGUUGAAAAUAGAGAUCCCAGGCAGCCCAGGGGCACUGUGACUUCAGGAAAUAGCCAGUGGUGAGGAGGAAGGUGGUGGAAGUGGAUGGAGCUCCCUUACACUUUGCCUUCCAAUGGAAAUAUGCAUUCAGCCAGCUGCAGGCAGGACAGGGUACAGGACCCUCACUUAGGAGUUUGUUUUCUGUUCUCUCCUUGACCUACGUAUCUGUGAAUGAUUCUGAAGGAAUGUGAUCAGAGCAGUGUAAAGAGUCCACAGUAAUUCAUAUAGAAUCAGCCCUUGUUGAGGUAGCACAGAGAAGCAUCAUAAAUAAGCUUAUGGGGAAUAUGGUGAAACUGCAUUUACACUUCUUGCCAUAAGCAAGCCAACCUGGUUAGACUUAAUUGUGAAGGGGGUUACGAAGCCUGUUUUGUCCUAAGGGAUCAGAUUCCCUGCUGUGUUGGGCAUUCAAUGGCAGUGCAAGAUUUAUUGCGUUAAUGAAUUUAUAGCAACGGUAAUUAUGAUCUUCUGCAACAGUUUUGAGCAGCUGGAAUUAGUGUUAGAUAAGCCUCCUUAUCAUCACACACCUAUAAAUAAUGGAUUUUGCUGCAUGGAGAAAAUGAAUUCUUUCCUGUGUAAUCCAUUACCUCUGUACAACAGCCAAACAUUUCAACUGCCCAAAGAGGAAAGUGCUAUUUUCUUUGAGGUUUACUUCUGCCCCAUUUAUUCAAAGCAUCUUGUUAGAUUUUCUGCCUACAGUAACGGAAAUACUGCUUAUUAGAUGAUAAUGUGUAGUAGGUUUGCCUUGAUUCAAAGCAACACGAAAAGAGCUUCCUUAAGUCCCAGGAAGAAUGAAAUUCAAGAAAAAAAAAUGUUUUAUGUAAGGUUUUGAAACCUGAAAAAUUGUAACAGAAAGGCUUUUGGUCUUGGGAAGGAAAUAUUUGUGUAUCACAUCCAGGAUACUGGGGAUAGUGGAGAGACUUUGCUUUAUUCAAAUUACAUCAAGUGAAAUCACGACCUGGCUUGAAAGGAGAAAAACAGAACACGGGACAAAAUGCUGAAAGGCAAAUACUGCUGAAAAGGAAAAUAAUACUGAACUGUAUCAUCAACUACUAUAAAACUUCCUUCUGGAAACUAAGCUCCAUUGAUUCAGUCUUGGAAAUCUCAGAUUUAUGCAAACUGAAGGGACAAGGGAAGAAAAUCAACCACAGGGUCACACCGAGGUUCUCAGAGCCCGUGUGGGAUUCAAACCCACCCUUAAAAAUAGCAAAGGGUUAAUAGUCAGCACUGAAGGCAUGCAGAGUUGGCAAGGUGGGAUUGGAGGGAAGACUGGUGACUUUUUCUUCUUUAUCUGUAUUUUGUAACUGAAAAAAAAAACCCACCCAAACUCUGAUUGCUGAGACAUUUGCUAAAUAGUUGCUAAUAAUAACCAUAUUAAUCUCAUUUUAGAAUUCCUGUAGAUCUAUGCCAGAGCCUGGCAAUUUUAUUUCUUAAUGUAUGUACGCAUAUUAUGGAGGCAGGCAGCCCAUGCAUCGCUUUGUGCUCAUUUAAUCUCUCAGCACAGUGGGGAAAGCAAGAACUUUUUGUUCUCAAAACUAUUUUUAAAGGGGUUUUGAAAUCAGUAAGCUUUAAUCUUUCACCACCUCUAUUCAAUACUGUACUGGCCUACUCUACUCUUUCUUUUUUUCCUACAUAUUCAGCUUCUAGCAAGUGGAAAGAACAUCACCCAGCUUUCCUUCUUGUUCCAGCAUGAGAGCAGGGAACUUAACACUGUCACACUGUAACACUUGAGAUGAUUUUCAGUUGAUAUGAAAACACUGAAGGGUGAAAAUAACUGAAUGCGAGGCGCCAAAAAAAAUACCUCUGGGGCUUUUUGUCACCAGAAAAUAAGUCAAUCUGCACUAUUUUUAAGGGUGCUCGUGACCUUGCAGCUAACAUUCUAAUUGGCUUGGCAGGGUUCAAAUUACAAUUCGUUUCAGAAAUAAUACCUGGGUGCACACGUUGCUAGAGAUUGCAGAGAUGGAGGGCAGCCAUCUUAUUGAUUGCUUAGUUGGGUGAAGCACGCAUCAUCCGCAUUUGUGCUCCUGGUGAUCUGUUGUCCCAGCUGGCUGUGUGCAAACUCAGGGUACCCAUGGCCAUUUUCAAUAAGCAGAUCAAUUCAGUUAAGUUGCCUAAACUGCUUGUACCUUUUCCACGUGCCUAAUUGAAACUGCUGUUUGUCAGUGGUAUCAGGGUGUCAACACUCAAGAAAGGAACUGUUCCUUUUGUUCUUGGUGCAAGUACAGUGUGAGCUCUCUCAUCCAGCUGCCCAGGAUGGCUGGGAUGAAGAGGGAAUAGUUUCCAUCCUUCAUCUAUAGAAAGAGCAACGAAGAAUGGCUGAUCUUCAACUCAGCAGUACUAGAACUAAUGGAAGAGUUGCUGCUGAAUCACAUGGGCUGUUAUGAAAAUUCUUCUAUCACAGUUAACAAAGCAUUUCCUCCUCGCUUUGACUGUGUGUUGGAAAUUCCUGACCCACUGCUCCCUAGAGGAGGCAACGUUACAUUUAUCUCCCUGUAAUCAUGUACCUUUUUAUGAACCAAGCAAUUUAACAGAUACAUUUGUUAAAAGUAUGUAAAGUUAUACGUCUGGCAGUCCACCUAGAGUACCUUAUUCAACCGUUAAAGACCAGCUUCUGUGUGCUUGAAUCAUCAUUAAUAACAUAGUCAAGAUCAGAGAAGCCAAACAAGUAUGUGCUGAAGUAUCUUGCUGAUACUGCAAAUUCCACUAGUCAAGACGUCUUUGGCUUCCUCACCUAGGAACGUGUCGGCGGAGGACAGAAGGAGAGAAGGAAAGAUGGCAGAACAUGCUGCUCUCAGAAGGUUAUUCCCCCAAAUUCUCCAGAACCAGCCUCUGACCGGGCUGCACCUUCACCCUGGUGGGACAUGCUCUUGUGUGGGAACCUCUACAGCAAUCCCCCUGAAAGGUGUUCUCAAGAUCACCACUGCUGUGGCCCCAGCACACCAGGCUGGACAAAUUACAGUCUCCCAGGCCUUUCCUCUGUCACAACAAUGGGUUCACAGUGCUGCUUGUAACAGAGCAUUAAAAGUGAUUGAGAAGGUGUGCUGUACGACCUCUGCACUGGCACCAGUUCCCACCAGGACACUGGUGAGAGCUUUGGGGCUAUUUUACAAAGGUUAACAAGGGAGAGGAGACUCCAGCAUUGCCUCUCACCUUCAGAGUGAUCCCUAUCAGAUUACUCCCAGCUCUCUCAUCAGGGCUGCGGGUGCAAUGCAGUGUUUCUCCAAGGCCCGCUCUGUCCUUCUGCAUUGUUUGUGGGUGACUUUAGCCUUAACGACGUAUUGGAGGAGAAGCUGGUACAGUGAGUUCAAGGCAUGAAACUUCCUUAAUUUCCAGCACAGCCAGUGCAUAUUCUACAUUACUGGUGAGACGCUGUGCCGGGUCACUGGCUUAGGUACUCCUUGCUUGCAGAAGAGGUGAAACUGAAGUUAAUCCACGCCUUUUGGAAAGGGCAUAUUUGUUGGGGACACAGUGGGACAGGAAGACUUAUGUCCAUGUUUUAUUUUCUGCUAUCUGCUAUGUUCACUGUAGUUUACAUCAGCUUUUCUUUCUGGUCUCUCUCCCCUGCAAGGUUCUACAGAGGCUGGAGGCACGGGGUCACAGACCAAGAGAUGACACAGUACAAGUAAUGAUCAUUGCAGUCUGAUUCAUGCUGGGAGCCAAUUUAGAAGUGUAAAAGCUGUGGAAAGGUGCUUCUGCAGCUUUCCUUCCCUAAGCCAGCAGUCGCCUGGCUGGAGGUGUCAGCAGGGGUGGGAGAGGAGGGCACAUUCAGCAGGCAUCAGCUCUCUCAGGACUACCAGGAACAUCUUUGGAAAAAAUAAAAGGAAAUCUGCAUUUUAAU